UGUACUAUUAUACAAUAUUACUAUACUGUACUAUAAUAUUGUACUAUACUAUUAUACAGUAUUACUAUACUGUACUAUACUAUUAUACGAUAUGACUAUACUAUUAUACUGUACUAUACUAUUAUACUGUACUAUACUAUUAUACAAUAUUACUAUACUAUUAUACUGUACUAUACUAUUAUAUGAUAUUACUAUACUAUUAUACUGUAUUAUACGAUAUUACUAUACUAUUAUAUGAUAUUUGUAUACUAUAACUGUAGUAAACAAUUAUUAUACUGUAAUUAUACUAUUACUAUACUGUACUAUUACUGUACUGUACUAUUACUACUAUACUAUUACUGUACUACACUAUUACUAUACUGUACUGUACUAUUACUGUAUUGUACUAUUACUAUUACUGUAUUGUACUGUACUAUUACUAUACUAUUAUUGUACUGUACUAUUACUUUACUUUUACGGUAUUGUACUGUACUAUUACUGUACUAUACUAUUACUAUACUGUACUAUUACUAUAUUGUAUUGUACUAUUACUAUAUUGUACUGUACUAUUACUAUACUAUUGCUGUAUUGUACUAUACUAUUACUGUACUAUAACUAUACUGUACUAUAUUGUUACUGUACUAUACUAUUACUCUACUGUACUACACUAUUACUGUACUACACUAUUACUAUACUAUUACCAUACUGUAAUAUAACUAUGCUAUUAGUGCACAGAGUUUUCUCCGUGUACUCUGUUCUGCCCUGAAACUGGUGGAAUUCCAAAUAGCUAAUUAGUCCACUACUUUUGACAAGAGGGCCCAUAGGCAUUUGGGACACAGGCCUCUUGUCUUUCUUGUGGCUUGGCUCAUAUAUUAUGUUAGUGAAAGACUUGCUCCACAGCGAUAAAGUUCUGCAAUGCGGCGGUGUAGUCUUCACUGCAAAAUGGAAUGUUACACUUUUGUUUGUUUACUUGUUUACUAUACUGUUGUUUUGUUGUUGUUAAAAACAUUUAAAAAAUAUAUAUAUAUGAUCUUGAUCUUUUGAAGUUCAUGUGAACAUGUCAAAUCUGUGAUGCGCAUUCCUGCGUUUUUUUAACAUAUAAAUGUUAUUACUGGAAUCUAGAAUAGUCAUUAUAUUAAUUGUAUUUCCAUGGUUUCUAAUAUAUGACAAGAUCUGUGCCUCAACUUUUUUGAUGUUAUGACACACACACACACAUGCUUUUGAUGUUAUGACAGAUACACAGGUUUUUGAUGUUAUGACAGAUACACAGGUUUUUGAUGUUAUGACAGAUACACAGGUUUUUGAUGUUAUGACAUAAAAUCAGUGUAAUAAAUGAAGGAAGUGGUGAAAACACUGAGAAAUAAAAUGGAGUAUUGAAGAGGGAA
This is a non-coding RNA of Salmo salar (Atlantic salmon), 1364 nucleotides long. Lineage: Eukaryota; Metazoa; Chordata; Actinopteri; Salmoniformes; Salmonidae. The record is from RefSeq and is a predicted model, not a curated record.